Esox lucius (northern pike) is the source of this 484-nucleotide long non-coding RNA. RefSeq lists it as uncharacterized. Lineage: Eukaryota; Metazoa; Chordata; Actinopteri; Esociformes; Esocidae. The transcript is spliced from 3 exons. The record is from RefSeq and is a predicted model, not a curated record.
UGGCCCAGCUUUAAGAGCACUGAACGUGUGAAACGGGCAGCUGCUAACGAGGAGGAGCAUGAGCCAAACUGGCCAAGAUAUGACGUAAAGGUCGUCAGAACUUGUGACAACUACAAAGACGCCAUCAGGCUAAUGAAUCAAUAUCAGACCGGCUGCAACGCCUCUGAGCUACAGUCUGAGGCAGAGCAGGAGGGAUAGCUGCCAGAGAAACGAGUCAGGAAGCCAAUCCAUCGUUUUGGGGACUGAUGAGAGUGAAGAAGAGCCAGAAAAUUGUGACUUAGCUUCUCUGAGGUCGCCACGACCUUCCAACUCGGCUGGUGUAUCAGUUGGAGCCUCAAGCCCAAACCAAUUACACUGGCAGAGUAAGGAAUAAUCUCUUAACAUCAAAAUAACAAAAUCAUAAUAUUAAUAAUAUAGAUAUGGUUUACCUUGUUAGUGCUAAAGAUAUUCCCCUCUCCUUGUAUCCAUUCCUCCAGCUCCACCA